AACGAACGCUGGCGGCAUGCCUAACACAUGCAAGUCGAACGAGACCUUCGGGUCUAGUGGCGCACGGGUGCGUAACGCGUGGGAACCUGCACUUAGGUUCGGAAUAACUCCCCGAAAGGGGUGCUAAUACCGGAUAAUGUCUUCGGACCAAAGAUUUAUCGCCUUUGGAUGGGCCCGCGUUGGAUUAGCUAGUUGGUAGGGUAAAAGCCUACCAAGGCGACGAUCCAUAGCUGGUCUGAGAGGAUGAUCAGCCACACUGGGACUGAGACACGGCCCAGACUCCGACGGGGGGCAGCAGUGGGGAAUAUUGGACAAGGGGCGAAAGCCUGAUCCAGCAAUGCCGCGUGAGUGAUGAAGGCCUUAGGGUUGUAAAGCUCUUUUACCCGGGAUGAUAAUGACAGUACCGGGAGAAUAAGCUCCGGCUAACUCCGUG
This 433-nucleotide ribosomal RNA is filed under the name uncultured bacterium. RNAcentral describes it as "partial 16S ribosomal RNA". It matches the Rfam family "Bacterial small subunit ribosomal RNA", at positions 29 to 507 of the family's 1533-position model. The record is from RNAcentral.